Molecule: non-coding RNA, 665 nt
Organism: Nomia melanderi (Alkali bee)
Lineage: Eukaryota; Metazoa; Arthropoda; Insecta; Hymenoptera; Halictidae
Source: RefSeq, a predicted model, not a curated record
UUGGAUCUGUGAAAAAUCUAAUAAUUGAAGGGUAGUUUCUUUGAGAUUCAUUAAAAUAUUUGAUAUUAUUCCUGUUGCAAUAUUGGAGCCUGCAGAGUUCAAAGGGUUAAACUAUACCGAUUCGAACGAAACGUACAGCAGCGCCCAGAAGAUCGGGUCCUCGUACAUGUUGUACUUGUUGUGCUGAUCUCGGACCUUCAGGAUAGACGAGUGUCUGGCCGCGAGGUCGCUGGCGGCUAGCCUCGCUAUCACCGAGACGUCCGACGCGGCGCACGAGAAAGUUUCAGGUAACGUGGAAAUUAUAACGUGGAAGAACUGGGAAGAGAUUCUGCUCGCUUUUACCACUGGCGACACGGAGGCGUUUAUCGAGAUCGUCAUCAUGUAGAAGCCGAGCUUGUACGGCGGCUUCACCGUCAUCGACUCGCUCCAGAAGUUGUUCUCGACGCACUCCGUCGAGGAGCCGACGUAGUACGAGUUUCCCCAGAAGAAGCUGUUCGUGUAGCGGCCCGAGGCGUCGUCCACUGCGAAACGAACGGAGGUGAACAAGGUUUAGGACGGUGUUUCAUAAUGUGAGGCCGUUGUAGGGUAAUUUGAUUUUUAAUGGGGUAAUUUGAAAUUUGAAAGGUCACUUUGUGUGUUUCGUGAUAGUCACGCAGGAUAGAAUA